UUGAACGCUGGCGGCAUGCUUUACACCUGCAAGUCGGACGGCAGCACAGAGAAGCUUGCUUCUUGGGUGGCGAGUGGCGAACGGGUGAGUAAUAUAUCGGAACGUACCGAGUAAUGGGGGAUAACUAAUCGAAAGAUUAGCUAAUACCGCAUAUUCUCUGAGGAGGAAAGCAGGGGACCUUCGGGCCUUGCGUUAUUCGAGCGGCCGAUAUCUGAUUAGCUAGUUGGUGGGGUAAAGGCCUACCAAGGCGACGAUCAGUAGCGGGUCUGAGAGGAUGAUCCGCCACACUGGGACUGAGACACGGCCCAGACUCCUACGGGAGGCAGCAGUGGGGAAUUUUGGACAAUGGGCGCAAGCCUGAUCCAGCCAUGCCGCGUGUCUGAAGAAGGCCUUCGGGUUGUAAAGGACUUUUGUCAGGGAAGAAAAGGCUGUUGCUAAUACCGACAGCUGAUGACGGUACCUGAAGAAUAAGCACCGGCUAACUACGUG
This 489-nucleotide ribosomal RNA is filed under the name uncultured bacterium. Its description in RNAcentral is "partial 16S ribosomal RNA". It matches the Rfam family "Bacterial small subunit ribosomal RNA", at positions 30 to 507 of the family's 1533-position model. The record is from RNAcentral.